This 72-nucleotide transfer RNA is filed under the name Camelus dromedarius (Arabian camel). It matches the Rfam family "tRNA". From Rfam's summary of the family: Transfer RNA (tRNA) molecules are approximately 80 nucleotides in length. Their secondary structure includes four short double-helical elements and three loops (D, anti-codon, and T loops). Further hydrogen bonds mediate the characteristic L-shaped molecular structure. tRNAs have two regions of fundamental functional importance: the anti-codon, which is responsible for specific mRNA codon recognition, and the 3' end, to which the tRNAs corresponding amino acid is attached (by aminoacyl-tRNA synthetases). tRNAs cope with the degeneracy of the genetic code in two manners: having more than one tRNA (with a specific anti-codon) for a particular amino acid; and 'wobble' base-pairing, i.e. permitting non-standard base-pairing at the 3rd anti-codon position. Lineage: Eukaryota; Metazoa; Chordata; Mammalia; Artiodactyla; Camelidae. RNAcentral also lists the same sequence under 1 other name. The record is from Rfam by way of RNAcentral.
GGGGGUACAGCUCAGCGGUAGGGCACAUGUUUAGCAUGCAUGAGGUCCUGGGUUCAAUCCCUAGUACCUCCA